This 77-nucleotide microRNA precursor is filed under the name Echinococcus granulosus. Its description in RNAcentral is "microRNA egr-mir-10241 precursor". The record is from miRBase by way of RNAcentral. Lineage: Eukaryota; Metazoa; Platyhelminthes; Cestoda; Cyclophyllidea; Taeniidae.
GGCUGUGAAUGGCUAGAGGCAUCAAGGACAUCCAUACAUACGGUUGCCCUUGAACCGUUUCUACCAUUCAUAAUCCU